UGAAUACGAGACGCUAAGGCGUCGAAGUAGUGUAUGUCAUACUUCCAAGAAAAGCUUGCACUGUCAUAGAUAAAAAACGCCUGUACCAUAACCGACACAGGUGGGUAGGUAGAGUAUACUAAGGGGCGCGAGAUAACUCUCUCUAAGGAACUCGGCAAAAUAACUCCGUAACUUCGGGAGAAGGAGUGCCUUAUUCGUAAGGUUGCAAUAACAAGAUCCAAGCAACUGUUUAUCAAAAACACAGGUCUCCGCUAAGUCGUAAGACGAUGUAUGGGGGCUGACGCCUGCCCAGUGCCAGAAGGUUAAAGAAGUUGGUUAGCAAUUGCGAAGCUGAUAACUGAAGCCCUGGUGAACGGCGGCCGUAACUAUAACGGUCCUAAGGUAGCGAAAUUCCUUGUCGGGUAAGUUCCGACCCGCACGAAAGGCGUAAUGAUUUGGAUACUGUCUCGGAGAGGGGCUCGGUGAAAUAGACUUGUCUGUGAAGAUGCGGACUACCUGCACCAGGACAGAAAGACCCUAUGAAGCUUUACUGUAACUUGAAAUUGAAAUUGGACUUUAUUCGCGCAGCAUAGGUGGGAGGCGUUGAUUAUAAUCUUGCGGGAUUAUUGGAGCCAUCAGUGAGAUACCACUCUUGUAAUGUUAGAUUUCUAACUUUGAAUCAUUAUCUGGUCAAAGAACAGUUUCAGGCGGGCAGUUUGACUGGGGCGGUCGCCUCCUAAACGGUAACGGAGGCGUACAAAGGUUUCCUCUGAACGGUUAGAAAUCGUAUCUAGAGUGUAAAGGCAUAAGGAAGCUUGACUGUGAGACCUACAAGUCGAGCAGGGACGAAAGUCGGUCUUAGUGAUCUGACGGUACUGAGUGGAAAGGCCGUCACUCAACGGAUAAAAGUUACUCUAAGGAUAACAGGCUGAUCUCCCCCAAGAGUUCACAUCGACGGGGAGGUUUGGCACCUCGAUGUCGGCUCAUCGCAUCCUGGGGCGGUAGUACGUCCCAAGGGUUGGGCUGUUCGCCCAUGAAAGCGGUACGCGAGCUGGGUUCAGAACGUCGUGAGACAGUUCGGUCCAUAUCCGGUGUAGGCGUUAGAAUAUUGAGAGGAGCCUUCUUUAGUACGAGAGGACCGAGAAGGACAUACCUCUGGUGUACCAGUUAUCGUGCCAACGGUAAACGCUGGGUAGCUAUGUAUGGAGUGGAUAACCGCUGAAAGCAUCUAAGUGGGAAGCCCACCUCAAGAUAAGUAUUCUC
This 1242-nucleotide ribosomal RNA is filed under the name metagenome. RNAcentral describes it as "bacterial LSU rRNA". It matches the Rfam family "Bacterial large subunit ribosomal RNA", at positions 1564 to 2815 of the family's 2925-position model. The record is from RNAcentral.